CUGGAUUUAUGGUUGUCGUGCAAGUCAUGUGGGAAGUAUUGAACGAGCAGGAAAUAUGUUCACCCCGUCGCUGGUGUGUCAGCAGGGAGACUGGAAGUGUGAGUUACUUCCCAAUAACUGUGCUGCUAAAGGAAAAGUCAUCAUCACAGCCACAACCUCGGGUCCCGGCACAGUCUUUGAUGGAGGGAGGUGUGAUGAGCUGAUGGAGCUCCGGUGUGUCUCAGCCUCACCUGCCGCCGAGCCCAAACCAAACUCCUAAAUCGUUCA
Long non-coding RNA from Pelmatolapia mariae (spotted tilapia), 267 nucleotides. RefSeq lists it as uncharacterized. Lineage: Eukaryota; Metazoa; Chordata; Actinopteri; Cichliformes; Cichlidae. The transcript is spliced from 3 exons. The record is from RefSeq and is a predicted model, not a curated record.